AUGUAUACUUUUGUUGCAUUAAAAACAUGCACUCAAAGAACUGGAGUACAGGUCCAAAGUCUAAUCAAGUAUUUCAACGGAAAAAAAAAAAAAAAAAAAAAAAGACUGUGUCACAAAAGUAGGGUGACUACGUGUCUCUCAGCCCCGCCGGCGCCGGCGCACUGGGUCCGAGGGGCGGUGGUGACAGCAGCGGGACUCAGUGCCAUGGCGGCUGGCGGAGUGGAGGAGCGGGGAGGUUUGGAGGCCGCAGUGCGGGGUGGCCUCCGCAUCCUUAGGGAGCGAUGGAUGCGGGGGACCCGUGAACGCAGCGGUACCGCAGCGUUUGCGGGUCCCCCACGUCCAUCGCUCCCGGAGGAUGUGGAGGAGGUGAGUGCCCUGCAGGCGCUGCCGAUCGACGUGCAGCUGAACAUCAUGUCCUUCCUCUCACCCCAAGAUCUGUGCCAUUUGGGAAGCACGAGUUGUUAUUGGAGGGCGACUGUGCAGGAUCCGUUGUUGUGGAGGUAUUUUCUCCUGAGGGAUCUCCCCUUCUGGACAUCAGUCGAUUGGAAAUCACUCCCAGAUGUGGAGAUUUUUAAUAAAACCUUUUCAGAGGACAGUGAUAAUGCGCUGUAUGAUUACAUGGCAGUAUAUAAAAAAAGCUGUCCUCAGAGUAGAAGAAGUUUGAAAUCAAGCCGCCCACGCUAUGGGGCUGUCGCUUCCUUUUUGCAAUCACUGGUCACUCAGGCAGAACCUCGCUUUGCGAUGUUUGGUCCAGGUUUGGAAGAGCUGGACAACUCGUUAGUGCAAAAGAUGAUGACAUGCCCAGAAAUUCUGCUAGUAGCCGGCCUACUACAAAGACAAAUUCAUGGAAUUGGAUCAGGAGUCAGUUUUCAGUUUAAUAACAAUAAAAAAUUCAAUAUUCUGACAUUGUAUUCCACUACCAGUGUGGAAAGGAGGAGAGCAAGGGAAGAGCAAGCUGUUGCUGUGAAUAAGAUGUUCUACCAAGAGAACAGCAUAGUAGGGAAUCAGCAAGCCAUGCGCUACAGUGUCAUAGCUCAAGUUAAAAAGGUGUGCGAAGUAGUUGAUGGAUUCAUUUAUGUUGCUAAUGCAGAAGCUCAUAAAAAGCAUGAUCGUCAAGAGGAACUGGCUCGUAUUUUGGCAAUGAUUGAUCCAGCCCUUGGGCCUCCAAACAGACCUCUGCUAGUUUUGUCGUGUGUCUCUCACAUUGAUGUGAACAGAAUUCCGUGUGUUUACAUGGCACAUCAGUUGCAACUAAAUCUGCUACGUCAGCCCUGGAUGGUACUUACUUUUAAAUCUUUAUUUUCUGUUUCUUUAUGGCUUAAAUUUAAUUUAGGAUUGUGGUAGUUCCUGAACUGUGCCUACCUAAGCAAGUGUGCAGCUUUCAACACUAGUACGUGAGCUCUCCACUUAAGUGAAGAAUUCGGCUUCUCUGGUCCUCUAAGGUGAAGCGUUAGCCUAUCUGAACAUAGGGGAGCUAAGUGCCUUGCCCAGGAACACACAAGAAACUUCAGAUGGAGCCAGAAUGUAAGGAAGGAUGAAAUGCUGGUCUUGAAGGGUGUAAGGACACUUCAGUUAAUUUAAAUCUAAGUUUCCUGAGUCACGACCCAAGGCCUUGGACACAAGGUGCAGGACACAGUAGCUGCAACUUUAGCUGGAUUAAUGAAUGGAAUUGAGUGGCUCCUGGAAGAAGUGAAUUGUAAAAAUGCACAGUAAUGGAACCAUGCAUUGUUUUACUGUAUAGACUUCGAUGUUUUGAUGUUCAGAUGAAGUGAGAAUCAUGUCCUGACAGAGUACUGUCAGAAGGGAGAUUUUAAAGGCAAACCUGCAUAUAUUUCACUGCACAUACUUUAAUAAUUAAUAUUCUUCCAACUGUAGUCCUGAAUUGAAGUACAAGUAGGAUUCCCUGGAUUCCAGCAGCUGAUGAAGAACUGAUUUUGGGGGCCACUUGGGGUGUUUUGUUUUUCUUUCUUUCAAUCUGGGGCCUUUAGGGUGCAAUCUUUUCUCAGUAUAUCUGAUAAUCUAAUCUCUUCUGUAAAUAUACCUAACACUGGGUUAGUUUAUCAGCACAGCCGUAUGGCACACAUCCCACAUUUAGUAAGUAUAUUCAGUGGAGAUCUUGACAGUGACAGUUCCCGAUCAAAGUAAAUAUAGUGUACGUUGUACAGUAGUAGGUUGACAAAAAGACAGUACCUCUUUCAAAAGAGUAAAUUCCCCUGUAUUUUUUCCAGAAAUAAUGCCUAGGCAAGAAAUAGCACCCGUGGGAGAAUUGUCAGUCCAGACCAAAAUUCUUAGAAACAAACAAACAAACUGACGUGUAUGAAUUCGUUGUUUCUUGUUUGUGAUCUUACUUGUUAACCAACCACAAAAGACUUCAGCAUCUUCUGCUUUCUGUUGCCAUGAAAUUAUUAGCUUGAACUGGAUGUACCUCUGAUGUCAUGAAUGAAUGUUAAAUAGAAUUGUUAUUAUUUCAGGACAUUUAUUGAAUAUUUAGAACCUAUCUGUUACUCAAAUCCUCAUGGCUGUUUACAGAUGUGCAGAGUACUUGGUGUAAAAUUUUCUACACAGUUGCAAAUACUUUUAUAAAAAGGGAAAAAAUAUUUUAGAGCUGGAAUUGCAUUUUCUAUACUGAUGUCAUUUGGGAUAGUCCUAGUCUUCCACCUUUUUAGUGUUUUUAAUUAUUGGAUGAAUGUUCAGAAACUUCCCUUGGAUUUCUUGCCUGUGUAUGUAUUUGUUUUGUUCUGGGUUUUGGGUUGUUUUUUUUCCCCUCUUUCUCCAUGGAAAUGCAAUAGUUUCACAAUUUUAUCUUGGUACCUAGAUAAAUGACUACAUGGUGCACAUUCAGAUGUAACUGCCCUCAAUCUGGUAUAUGUGUGUGAUGCUUAACACAGCUAUGUCAGAAACAUUCCAUUUGAGAAAGUUUUUUUAUUUUUUAAUGAACUAGGACACACACAGGAAGUGUCUUUAUUUUUUUUCAUCUUUAUCCACAAUUAACUCAGCUUUCUAGAUGUUUUUGUAUAUCUUCUGAUCUUUGGGAGUUUCUAAACUUUGUGACUUUCAAGUGAAAAUCGAUGGGAAUACAAUUUUUUUUAACAAGGUAUGUGUGCUUUGCCCAUUAAAAUAGAGAAGACACAAAAGAUUUAUGAGUAUUUGGGGGAAAAUUCCACACUUUGUGACUGGGUGUAUGUGACUUGCCUACUAGUCGUAAUAAUUCCACAGUGAACUAUCUGUAAAGGGUUGGAUGCAGCAACCUGUUGGUAUGUUAGCUGCUACAAAGACGGGGGUUUUAUGCAAGAUCCUCGUUCUGCUUUCUUCAUAAGGAAUAAAUCAUUUUUUAAAGAAUAAUAUUUACACUCUUUCUUUGUGUGUUAAGCCCCUCUGCAUCCAAGCACAUACUGUGUGCACACACACAUGUCUGCAGUCAUGCUGUCAUAACAGAUAACAAAUUAUUAUUGUCAUUAUUAUUCAUUAAUGAACAAUGCUAUUGUAUGUUAUCUGUUUAAUUAACAGAUGAUAAUUAACUCUUAUUCUACAAGGUCAAGGUAAUGUAGGGAAUAUAAUUUUUUUUUUAACCUAAGGAACACCAGUUAUAUUGACUUAAAGAUAGGAUAACUUAAAGAAUUAAGAAUUACAAGUUUUAAGGAUGCAGCCUGGGAGACACACAGUGGGAAUUAGAAAUCCGUGCAGUCCCAGAGCUCCAGCCUCACAGAAAUCGCAGAGAUGGUGGUGGAGUUGCUUGUAUGGCUGAGUGCUGCGGUGGAUCAAUACAGGCAAGGAAGAUGAGAGUGUACGCUGUGCAAAGGAAGGAACAGCUUAGAUGCACAGAGGUAUGCCAUGGAAGAGGCAACUAGGCUGUUGAGAAUUCAUAUGCCAAAUGGUUGCAGAGAAGCACUACGGAUUUAAUUUACCACUACCUUUUAGAUUUCAGCUAAA
This is an RNA transcript of Chroicocephalus ridibundus (black-headed gull), 3930 nucleotides long. It is a transcript of the gene named F-box protein 4, with no coding region annotated. The transcript is spliced from 7 exons. NCBI's taxonomy places the organism in Eukaryota, Metazoa, Chordata, Aves, Charadriiformes, Laridae. The record is from RefSeq and is a predicted model, not a curated record.